GUGAGGAAUUUUGCGCAAUGGGGGAAACCCUGACGCAGCAACGCCGCGUGAGUGAUGAAGGCCUUCGGGUCGUAAAGCUCUGUCAAGUGGGAAGAAAGUAGAAGGUGUUAAUAUCAUUUUUUAUUGACGGUACCACUGAAGGAAGCACCGGCUAACUCCGUGCCAGCAGCCGCGGUAAUACGGAGGGUGCAAGCGUUAUUCGGAAUUAUUGGGCGUAAAGGGCGCGUAGGCGGUUUUUUAAGUCAGGUGUGAAAGCCCGGAGCUUAACUCCGGAAGUGCAUUUGAAACUGAAAGACUUGAGUAUGGGAGAGGGAAGUGGAAUUCCUGGUGUAGAGGUGAAAUUCGUAGAUAUCAGGAGGAACACCGGUGGCGAAGGCGACUUCCUGGACCAAUACUGACGCUGAGGCGCGAAGGCGUGGGUAGCAAACAGGAUUAGAAACCCUUGUAGUCC
Molecule: ribosomal RNA, 451 nt
Filed under: uncultured bacterium
Lineage: Bacteria
Description: bacterial SSU rRNA
Rfam family: Bacterial small subunit ribosomal RNA
Source: RNAcentral